UUACGACCACAUCACGUUGAAAUACCUGUUCCCGUAUGAUCACCGUAGUUAAGCAACGUCGAGCCUAGUCACUGCCUUGUUGGGUGACCGCUUGUGAAUACUAGGUGUUGUAAG
Non-coding RNA from Acanthosepion pharaonis, 114 nucleotides. NCBI's taxonomy places the organism in Eukaryota, Metazoa, Mollusca, Cephalopoda, Sepiida, Sepiidae. The record is from the annotation of a GenBank genome assembly.